UUCCGGUUGAUCCUGCCGGAGGUCACUGCUAUUGGGAUUCGACUAAGCCAUGCGAGUCGCGAGGGUUCGGCCCUCGGCUGACGGCUCAGUAACACGCGGAUAAUCUGCCCUUAGGUGGAGGAUAACCUCGGGAAACUGAGAAUAAGACUCCAUAGAUCUAGGAGGCUGGAAUGCACUUAGAUCAAAAACUUCGGUGCCUAAGGAUGAGUCUGCGGACUAUCAGGUAGUAGUCAGGGUAAUGACCUGACCAGCCUAUGACGGAUACGGGUUGUGAGAGCAAUAACCCGGAGAUGAUAUCUGAGACACGAUAUCAGGCCCUACGGGGCGCAGCAGGCGCGAAAACUUCACACUGUGCGAAAGCACGAUGAGGGAAUCCCAAGUGCUGGCUCGUAAGAGUCAGCUGUUUUUCUGUCUAGAAAACAGAGAGAGUAAGAGCUGGGUAAAACGGGUGCCAGCCGCCGCGGUAAUACCUGCAGCUCAAGUGGUGGCCGCUAUUAUUGGGCCUAAAACGUUCGUAGCCGGUCUAGUAAAUGCCUGGGUAAAUCGUACGGCUUAACCGUACGAAUUCCGGGUAGACUGCUGGACUUGGGACUGGGAGAGGCUAGAGGUACUCCUGGGGUAGAGGUGAAAUUCUGUAAUCCUAGGGGGACGACCAGUGGCGAAGGCGUCUAGCUAGAACAGGUCUGACGGUGAGGAACGAAGCCCUGGGGCGCAAACGGGAUUAGAUACCCCGGUAGUCCAGGGUGUAAACGCUGCUUGCUUGAUGCUAGUCGGGCUCCGAGCCCGAUUAGUGUCGGAGAGAAGUUGUUAAGCAAGCUGCCUGGGGAGUACGGCCGCAAGACUGAAACUUAAAGGAAUUGGCGGGGGAGCACCGCAACGGGUGGAGCGCGCGGUUUAAUUGGAUUCAACGCCGG
Molecule: ribosomal RNA, 914 nt
Filed under: uncultured archaeon
Lineage: Archaea
Description: bacterial SSU rRNA
Rfam family: Archaeal small subunit ribosomal RNA
Source: RNAcentral